GCCGUUUUAGCUCAGUGGUAGAGCGCGCCCUUGGUAAGGGCGAGGGCGAUGGGUUCGAGUCCCUCAUUCGGCACCA
RNAcentral lists this transfer RNA (76 nucleotides) under Pseudomonas nitroreducens. RNAcentral's name for it is "tRNA-Thr". It matches the Rfam family "tRNA". Rfam says of the family: Transfer RNA (tRNA) molecules are approximately 80 nucleotides in length. Their secondary structure includes four short double-helical elements and three loops (D, anti-codon, and T loops). Further hydrogen bonds mediate the characteristic L-shaped molecular structure. tRNAs have two regions of fundamental functional importance: the anti-codon, which is responsible for specific mRNA codon recognition, and the 3' end, to which the tRNAs corresponding amino acid is attached (by aminoacyl-tRNA synthetases). tRNAs cope with the degeneracy of the genetic code in two manners: having more than one tRNA (with a specific anti-codon) for a particular amino acid; and 'wobble' base-pairing, i.e. permitting non-standard base-pairing at the 3rd anti-codon position. Lineage: Bacteria; Pseudomonadati; Pseudomonadota; Gammaproteobacteria; Pseudomonadales; Pseudomonadaceae. The record is from RNAcentral.